AACGAACGCUGGCGGCAGGCUUAACACAUGCAAGUCGAACGCCCCGCAAGGGGAGUGGCAGACGGGUGAGUAACGCGUGGGAAUCUACCCAUCUCUGCGGAAUAGCUCUGGGAAGCUGGAAUUAAUACCGCAUACGCCCUACGGGGGAAAGAUUUAUCGGGGAUGGAUGUGCCCGGGUUGGAUUAGCUAGUUGGUGGGGUAAAGGGCUACCAAGGGGACGAUCCAUAGCUGGUCGAAGAGGAUGAACAGCCACCUUGGGACUAAGACACGGCGCAAACUCCUACAGGAGGCAGGAGUGGGGAAUAUUGGACAAUGGGCGCAAGGCUGAUCCAGCCAUGCCUCGUGAGUGAUGAAGGCCUUAAGGUUGUAAAGCUCUUUCACCGAUGAAGAUAAUGACGGUAGUCGGAGAAGAAGCCCCGGCUAACUUCGUGCCAGCAGCCGCCGUAA
This 447-nucleotide ribosomal RNA is filed under the name uncultured bacterium. RNAcentral's name for it is "partial 16S ribosomal RNA". It matches the Rfam family "Bacterial small subunit ribosomal RNA", at positions 29 to 523 of the family's 1533-position model. The record is from RNAcentral.